This 2703-nucleotide long non-coding RNA is filed under the name Canis lupus familiaris (dog). RNAcentral's name for it is "lncRNA (ENSCAFG00805016048.1, ENSCAFG00845029407.1)". The record is from RNAcentral. Lineage: Eukaryota; Metazoa; Chordata; Mammalia; Carnivora; Canidae.
AGUCAGGCAGGUGCGAGCCGCUGGCAGCUUCGCGUUCCCGCCGGGCGAGCCGCCCCGGGACAGAGGCGCGCUAGGAGCGCUUGCGCAGCGGCGUCGGCGCAAGGUCCGGCCCCGGGGCAGUCAGUCAGUUGCGGGCGGCUCGGAGGGGGCCUCUCAGCGGACGUGGAGGCUGCGGGACGGGCCGCCCACCGGUUGAACGCUGAAUGCUCAGGCGGCUGAGGAGGAAAAUUGGCACAUAAUGGAUGCUCAUAUCACAUGGAACAAAUCACUUAUUUUCACUGACCAGGAACUGUAUCCAGAAAGAGAGAAAGGCAUGUAAGUUUGUCACUAUUUUUGACAUUUUCUUGAUUUUGAAAGGAAACUUAGUGAUUCUGGUGAUCUAAGUACUGAAAAUAUUUUGGCUUCAUUAGUUUUUCUUCAGCACUGUUUCAAAGACUUUGUAGCAUAAUGCAAAGCUAUCAUUCAUUGAUUUUUUAAAAAGAGCAUCUACUCUCUAUAUGCCCUGUGCUAAGCAGUGUUAGAAAAAUGAGCAAAACAUGGUUGCUGUUUUCCAGUCCCAUAAACCAAAGCAUACCAAUAGAUAUUUUUGAUAUAAUGUAGCUAGCUAAAUGAUAGACAUGUACAAAGGUAUUUUGGGUAUAUUCCACAAUACAGAAAUAUGAAUGUAUACCAAAAGAAUAAAUAAAUAAGGAUCUUUCUAGAUUAUAAGAUGGCAAUGUAAUAUACAAUUGUAUAUUGGAUAAUGGGCUAAGCACCAUAGGUAAACUAAUGAAUAUAAUGGAUAUGACUCCUGAUCCUGUAGAGUUAUAACAUGGUGGGAAAUGUACACUGUACUAGUAAACAAACAAUAUAUAUAUAAAUGCAUAAAUGCAAAUCAUAGAAAGUAUUGAUAUGAAAUGUACAAGGUGUAGUGAUAGAGAAUUGUUGGAAUGAGGGAGAGAGGAAAUUCAUUAAGGUGAUGAGAGAAGAUUUCUCUGAAUAGGUGACUUUUAGACACAGUCUUAAGAUAGAAGAAUACAAGUAGGAGCGGUUUGGGUGGCUCAGUCGGUUGAGCAUGUGACUCUUGAUUUUGGCUCAGGUCAUGAUGUCAGGGUCAUGAGAUCAAGCGCUGCAUUGAACUCUGCACUGAGCACACAAUCUGCUGGAGAUUUUCUCUGUCUCAUGGCCCCCACUUGAGCUCUCUCUAUUUCUCUCAAGUAAAAUACAUACAUACAUACAUACAUAUAUACAUACAUAUAUUUUUUAAAAAGGAAGAAAAAUUCAAGCAGGUAAAGAUCAGAAAUAGCUUAUUCAAGAGAAGGGGAAGUAAAAUCAUGGGUGAAGUUCUUGUGGCAGUAAAGAGUUGGAGGCGAUUGAGGAACAGAAAGGAAAUCAGUAUGGCUGAAACAGUGAAUGGGCAAAGGCAUAAGAGGCCAGAGAAAUAGGAUGGAGUUGGAGAAUACAGGAUCUUAUAAGUCUAUGUGGUAACUAGCUUAAAGUGCAGUGAAAAGCCAUUAAAAUUUGUAAACAGGUCAGUAACAUGAUCUGAUUUAUAUUUAUAAAUUAAGGAGAGGGCUUCCUUUUCCAGAAAGAUCAAGUAGAGAUACCUUUCCUUAUUCCUCCCACUAAAUUAGACUAAAACCUGUGGACAUUAUAUAUAAAACAGACAUAAGAAGACUUUGAAAGAAAAAGAACAAAGUAAAGUAGCAUGGGAACUCAGACCCAAAGAAUGACACGCUGGUGAGUUCUCUGGGUUUUUAAUUUUUUGCUCAUAUAACACAGAGCUGAAGAAGCUGGCACCCUGAAAACAUGGAAGGCACAAACAAAAAAGUCCCAAGAAGAGCCUGAUCUCUAGCUGAGGAUCAGGAAAGGGGCAGCUUAGCAAGGUAGAAAACACUGAAAUAAUAACUACUCUGCUCCAGCCAAAUACCACAGAAAAACUGUGACCCCAUCCCCACCUAUGCCAGCAAAGGCGAAGUAGGGAGCCAAGACUUUUACUUUGCUAGGCUGUAGCAGGGCAUUCCGAUAUCCUUUCAAUGGUGGUGUGAGAGAAAGCCAGGAACUGGGACACUCAUCCUUGCCAGGCAGUAAUGACCCCCCACCUUUUUCUGUUGUCAGUGGAGCCUGAAUUGCUACCUCCACCCAGCAGUAACAGAGUGUCUUCUGGGGUGGUGUCAGAGAAGUCCUUGUAGAGAGUCAAAAGAGUUUGAUCACUGUCCAAUAAUAAUGAGAAUACCUCCCACUUCAUGAUGUCAGCAGAGACCAAAUAGUGAGCUUAAGUAUUGAAAUAACUCCUACCCUUCCCAGCCUCAUAGGUAUUAGUAGAAACCUGUAGGGAAGUUAGAACUCCAUCCAUGGCCCAGAAGUAAUGAGAAGCCUACUCUAAGUUGUCAAUCAAGACUGUAUAGGGAACUGGAUGUUUAUUAGCCCUGGCAGAAAGAAGCCAGCACCCUAGCUUCCUCUGCAGGAACAGUGUCAUAAUUAAAAGAGAAGGUUUAUAUUAUUAGAUCCAGAGAGUCAUAACAUGAUACACAAAAUGUUCAGAUCUCAAAUGAAAUUCACUUGUCAUACCAAGAACCAGGAAGAUAACAAAUUGACUGAAAAAAAAGAUAACAAAAAUGUUAGAAUUAUCUGACAUUUUAAAGCAGCUAUCUUAAAAAUGCUUCAAUAAAUAAUUAAAAUACAUUUGAAACAUAUGAUAAAAUAUGAGAAAAUGUCAACAAA